RNAcentral lists this ribosomal RNA (523 nucleotides) under Pseudomonas sp. NZWT2. RNAcentral's name for it is "bacterial SSU rRNA". It matches the Rfam family "Bacterial small subunit ribosomal RNA", at positions 8 to 526 of the family's 1533-position model. The record is from RNAcentral. Lineage: Bacteria; Pseudomonadati; Pseudomonadota; Gammaproteobacteria; Pseudomonadales; Pseudomonadaceae.
AGAGUUUGAUCCUGGCUCAGAUUGAACGCUGGCGGCAGGCCUAACACAUGCAAGUCGAGCGGAUGAAGGGAGCUUGCUCCUGGAUUCAGCGGCGGACGGGUGAGUAAUGCCUAGGAAUCUGCCUGGUAGUGGGGGACAACGUUUCGAAAGGAACGCUAAUACCGCAUACGUCCUACGGGAGAAAGCAGGGGACCUUCGGGCCUUGCGCUAUCAGAUGAGCCUAGGUCGGAUUAGCUAGUUGGUGAGGUAAUGGCUCACCAAGGCGACGAUCCGUAACUGGUCUGAGAGGAUGAUCAGUCACACUGGAACUGAGACACGGUCCAGACUCCUACGGGAGGCAGCAGUGGGGAAUAUUGGACAAUGGGCGAAAGCCUGAUCCAGCCAUGCCGCGUGUGUGAAGAAGGUCUUCGGAUUGUAAAGCACUUUAAGUUGGGAGGAAGGGUUGUAGAUUAAUACUCUGCAAUUUUGACGUUACCGACAGAAUAAGCACCGGCUAACUCUGUGCCAGCAGCCGCGGUAAUAC